GCUGGGUGCAGUGGUGCAUGCCUGUAAUCCCAGCAGCUCAGGAGGCUGAGACAGGAGGAUCACAAGUUCAAACCCAGCCUCAACAACCGCGAGGUGCUAAGUAACUCAGUGAGACCUGUCUCUA
RNAcentral lists this small RNA (124 nucleotides) under Marmota monax (woodchuck). Lineage: Eukaryota; Metazoa; Chordata; Mammalia; Rodentia; Sciuridae. The record is from RNAcentral.